UCAUAGCUCAGCUGGAUAGAGCAACGGACUUCUAAUCCGUAGGUCGUAGGUUCGAAUCCUACUGG
Molecule: transfer RNA, 65 nt
Filed under: uncultured Rubripirellula sp.
Lineage: Bacteria; Pseudomonadati; Planctomycetota; Planctomycetia; Pirellulales; Pirellulaceae
Rfam family: tRNA
About the family: Transfer RNA (tRNA) molecules are approximately 80 nucleotides in length. Their secondary structure includes four short double-helical elements and three loops (D, anti-codon, and T loops).
Source: RNAcentral